Molecule: small nuclear RNA, 107 nt
Organism: Colobus angolensis palliatus
Lineage: Eukaryota; Metazoa; Chordata; Mammalia; Primates; Cercopithecidae
Source: Ensembl
GUGCUCACUUUGGAAGCAUAUAUACUAAAAUUGGAAUGAUACAGAGAAGAUUAGCAUGGCCCCUGUGCAAGGAUGACAUGCAAAUUCGUGAAGUGUUCCAUUAAAAA